Molecule: ribosomal RNA, 301 nt
Filed under: uncultured bacterium
Lineage: Bacteria
Description: partial 16S ribosomal RNA
Rfam family: Bacterial small subunit ribosomal RNA
Source: RNAcentral
CAGCCGCCACGGUAAUACGUAGGGUGCAAGCGUUAAUCGGAAUUACUGGGCGUAAAGCGUGCGCAGGCGGUUAUAUAAGACAGAUGUGAAAUCCCCGGGCUCAACCUGGGAACUGCAUUUGUGACUGUAUAGCUAGAGUACGGCAGAGGGGGAUGGAAUUCCGCGUGUAGCAGUGAAAUGCGUAGAUAUGCGGAGGAACACCGAUGGCGAAGGCAAUCCCCUGGGCCUGUACUGACGCUCAUGCAUGAAAGCGUGGGGAGCAAACAGGAUUAGAUACCCCUGUAGUCCCUGUCUCUUAUAC